UCAAGAACAUUUCUCUCUCUAUACCUCACACUCUCCAUUUUUCCUUUGCCUUCUCUCUACCUUUUCUUUCAACUGUUAGAAUUUUGAUUCGUAGACGCCUAAACAAUCCUGACGCCGAGAGCUUCAAUUGACACCGAUCGAUUUCAGGAUUCCUAGUUGUAGUUGCUAUUCACUGUUCUUCGCUAUUUUGGAACCCUAGACCAUGCAAUCUGCUGGUUACAUGUGUCUUUUAUUUUUUUUCUCCAAUCCCUGUCCAAUUCUAGCUCUAAGCGUUGUUCUUGAUCACCGCAUUGCGGGUUAUAGGGUGUUGUCUCGAUUAUUCGCAUGUGGGGUACUGUAGCUGCGGGUCUUUGAGUUGAGCAAAGAAGUUUCAAGGUAUGGGGAGCUAUUUAGUAUGUUUAAUUGUGUGUGUGAUGAAUGGUAUGUUUCUCGCUAUUCCUUUCUAGUCAUAUGGGUAUUGAUGAUUUGAGUACGAAAUAAUUGUUGAAUUGAUGUUGAAUCGUUUUGGGUAAUUGAGUAUAUUAUGAUAUACUAGAUUCUAGAAUACUGUAUACAUAUUGGCAUGUGCUUUUGUGUUUACGGAAUAUACAAAUUGGGGUGAGAAAUAGGUAAUUUGAUGUUUGGACUGUUAUACGGUAUGAGAAGAUGAUAGUUCUCCUCUAUUUUCUGUUUGAAUAGUAGUAAAAUAUAAUAAUACAUGGAUCUCCUGUUUUGUAACUGUUUAUGGGAUUAGUGUAAUAUGGUAAUAUUUUAUAUGUAUAGUUCCUCUUAAAUGGAAAGAAGAAUAUGAUAAUUGUUGAUGGAUACGGAUAUAUAAUGGGUUAUCUUUGAAAGUUGGUAAUUAUAGUAGACUUAAGAAUGUGUUGAAAAAUUGUGUAUGCAUCGUGGUGUUUUGUUAUUCUGAAUUGGAAUGGCAGUAGGAGUUUGGAAUGUAUGAAAUCAAUAAUCGUACUUAAAUAAGUGUAUAGGAUAGAAUUGGUUUUAUCAAUUUAGAGGUUUAGGUAUUAUAAGAAAGAUUGGGUUAAGAAAUAAGUUUAAAGUUACAGUAUUAUGUUUAAUGGAAAUAAAAUUGGCAGUGUGUUAAAGACGUAAUGGUAUUCAUAGGUGUUUAGAAAUGUUUAUUGCAUUUGUUAUAUAUAUAUAUAUAUAUAUAUAUAUAUAUAUAUAUAUAUAUAUAUAUAUAUAUAUAUAUAUAUAGGGGUUUGUUAACUUGUGUACGCCUGUUUUUUAAUUGGUACAUUUUAGCAAUGUGUACCAGAUUUCAAUAGACAAAAAUAUCUUUAUAUAUCAUAAAUUCUAUGUUUUAAGAUUAAGAAUAUUUUAAUAAUUUUCAUUCUCAAAGUUAAAAAAAUAAAGAAAAGAAACCCCACAAACCCUUAUCCACCUCUCUCAUUCCUCUCAACCCUCUCUCUUUCAUCUCUUUCACUCCAACCUUUUCUCUAUCAUCUUACUCUAGCCCCAAUUGAAAAAAAAAUCAGAAACACUUGCCUUAUUUUAAUAAUUUUCAUUCUCAAAACUAAAAAAAGAAACCUCAAACCCUUACUCACCUCCUUCAUUCCUCUCAACCCUUUUUUCCUUCAUCUCUCUCACUCAAACAUUUUCUCUGUCAUCUCUGCACUAACCUCAACUAAGAAAACACUAAUCAUUAAACGAUUUACUUUUGUAAAGAGUUGAGUCAUUGACAUAUUCACCUUCUGAAAAAAGUUCAUUCAAAAUCACUUUAAUUUCAUUAUCUUCAUUAUAUAUAUUACAGCUUACGGGCACAACUUGCACCAAGACUUAUGAGCAUCAUUCCUUUACAUUUUGAGACUACUACGUAACAUUGCUCCGUGGUCAUUUAUUUUUUUCUUUUGUAGAAAUUCAUUAACUUGUUUUUCUUUACUAAAGAAAAAACAAAUACAAUAAAAUUCUCAACGAUAAAAUCAAAUAAUAAAAAUUCUAAAUAUUGAAAUUUUAUUUAAAAUUAUAUAAAGAAAAAAUUAGGUGCUUCAAUUUUUUUUAUUUAUGUAAGUAUUUUUUUUCUCUAACCAUUUUAUUUAAUAAUGAGUGUUUCUUUAGUUGGGGCUAGUCAGAGAUGACAGAGAAAAUGUUUGAGUGAAAGUGAUGAAGAUGAAAGGAUUGAGAGAAAAUGAGAAAAUGUUUGAGCAAAAGAGAUGAAGGAGAAAUGAUUGAGAGGAAUGAAGGAGGUGAGUAAGGAUUUGAGGGUUUUUUUUUUUUUAGUUUUGAGAAUGAAAAUUAUUAAAAUAAGGCAAGUGUUUCUGAUUUUUUUUUUUUCAAUUGGGGAUGACAGAGAAAAGGUUGGAGGGAAAGAGAUGAAAGAAAAAGGGUUGAGAGAAAUGAGAGAGGCGAGUAAGGGUUUGAGGGUUUUUUUUUUUUUUUUUAAUUUUGAGAAUGAAAAUUAUUAAAAUACCCUUAACCUUAAAACUUAGAAUUCAUGAUAUAAGGAUAUUUUUGUCUACUGAAACCCGGUACACAUUGCUAAAAUGUACCAACUGAAAAACAGGCAUACGCAAGUUAACAAACCCUAUAUAUAUAUAUAUAUAUAUAUUUGUGAACACUUAUAAGAGUAAUAUAUAUAAUAUUAUUAAAUGGAAUUAAAAAGUUAAAAAUUUUGGUUAAUAGAAAAUAUGUGCAAGGAUUACUUUUAAUAUUAAAAACUUGAUAUUGAAAUAAGAAUGGGGUAUUGUUUUUUUGUUCAGCUGUUUCAUAACCUUUAGAAUUAAAAUUAUCUUUUAUAGAAUUAUUUUGUAACUUCAUAUAUUAUAUAGUAUAGAUUUAUAUAUAUAAUAGAAUGUGACGUAACUUUAUAAAUUAUAUAUAUAUAUAUAUAUAUAUAUAUAUAUAUAUAAUAUUUUGGGUUGGUUUUUUAUUUUGAAAAUAUAUUUUGGGGGCAGGUCUAAAAAAAAUGGUUUAGCUUAUAUGAUGUUUGAUGUUGUUUGAUUGUUUUGGUGAAUGUAUGUUUAUAUACUUGAAUUGAAUGACGGGAUUAAAGAUGAACUGAACAUUCCAGGGAGAGAUGAUUGAGAAAGAUUGUAGAGAUAAUGUUGUUGUCUGUAUAAUGUUAGGAGCUUUGAAAUGGUAUGUCUAUCCCUACACCUAAAGCAUUGUUCAUACUCAAAUAGAGAAGAACAAUGUGAGUGGUGAGAGUAGAGGGAAGUCUUCGUCUAUAGUCUUAGAAUUUAGACAUAGACAAAUUGGAGGAUUUUACCUUGCAUAGUGUUGGGGAUGGGCCAACUGAACUAUGCAAGUGCAGAGACGACCAAUAGCUAGACAGUUAUACAAAAUCCGGAUGAGUCGUGUUGAGUAUUUGAUGCAUGUUUUGAAUGGUAUGUCUUGCUUGUUCGUUUUAUAUGUAAUUAAGCAUGAUGACAUUGAUUGACUGUACUAUAUGUAUGUGGUUUGUUUAUCUAGCUCACCUUUACUUUUGUGUUGUAUGUUGCUUGGGUAUGCUUUCUCUUGCGAUGAUCAUCCACUUAGAUAAGAGUAAAUGUCGUUGAGGAGGUUCCAUUGGAGCAAGAGUUGGAGGACACUGAUGUUACGACUUAGUCCUCCCUAGGAUUUCUUCCUUUUACCUGAUGUCAUUUUGGAAUACUCUUAUCUUUUGUACCAUUUUGUUGUACUCUUUAUGUCUAAGUUUUAGGUUUAGAUCUCUUUUACUUGAAAUUCAAACUCUUGAGUUAUAUUUGGAUGAUUG
RNAcentral lists this long non-coding RNA (3694 nucleotides) under Vigna radiata. RNAcentral's name for it is "long non-coding RNA (VRAD_LNC005891)". The record is from RNAcentral. Lineage: Eukaryota; Viridiplantae; Streptophyta; Magnoliopsida; Fabales; Fabaceae.